AGCAAGAUCAGCACUUGCACCGGGAUCUGAAAUUGUAGGGAGAGAAACAUCAGUUACAAAGUAAUUAAAUUAGUCUAUGCAUAUUUAACUUCAUCAAUUAGACUACUUGAGCAAUUCAAAGCACCAAACCUAUAAAACCCUGAAGGACCAACUUCAGUAGGCGGAACACAAACAGCUAGCAUCAGCAACAAAGGAAUAACUGCCAGGCAGGUAUUGCUCAAGAGUGCAAAAACUAAGUUAAGGGACAACACCCAGCCUAAAGAAACUAAGUUUUAGGCCAUCAAGGUCCAACAGGUUAGGAAUUCUAGAUGUAGCAUGCAUUUCCAUGCAUCGUACAGUAAUGUCCUUUUAGUGAGACACUGAUUAUGAAGAGAAGAGCCAAUUUUCCAGAUUCUCCUCUAGGCAAUAUUUAUUGCCAGUAGCUUUAACAUCUCUAGUAAACCAGAGCAUUUUAUAGGAGAACAACCACACUUAGUUUUCAUUAGUUAGGAUCCUCAAUUGCUCAGUUGCAUUAUGGCAUUAUAAUUGCUUAGUAGUAAACUAUGAUGUGUGAGUGAGCACCGACAGGGCUUAACUUUUCUAUAAGAAUAGUCAAUUGCAUGAUGCAUUUGACACUUCAAUGAA
RNAcentral lists this long non-coding RNA (624 nucleotides) under Manihot esculenta (cassava). RNAcentral describes it as "long non-coding RNA (MESC_LNC012883)". The record is from RNAcentral. Lineage: Eukaryota; Viridiplantae; Streptophyta; Magnoliopsida; Malpighiales; Euphorbiaceae.